GCUCACUUGGUGGAAGGGUAGACACGGCAGAUUUAAAAUCUGCUUCCUGCAAAAGGAGUAUCGGUUCAAAUCCGUUAGUGAGUA
RNAcentral lists this transfer RNA (84 nucleotides) under Hemiarma marina. RNAcentral describes it as "tRNA-Leu". It matches the Rfam family "tRNA". Rfam says of the family: Transfer RNA (tRNA) molecules are approximately 80 nucleotides in length. Their secondary structure includes four short double-helical elements and three loops (D, anti-codon, and T loops). Lineage: Eukaryota; Cryptophyceae; Goniomonadida; Goniomonadaceae. The record is from RNAcentral.